GGGGUUGUGGCUCAGUGGUAGAGUGCUUGCCUAGCAUGCAUGAGGCACUGGGUUCAAUCCCCAGCACCACA
This 71-nucleotide transfer RNA is filed under the name Marmota monax (woodchuck). RNAcentral describes it as "tRNA.Ala". It matches the Rfam family "tRNA". From Rfam's summary of the family: Transfer RNA (tRNA) molecules are approximately 80 nucleotides in length. Their secondary structure includes four short double-helical elements and three loops (D, anti-codon, and T loops). Lineage: Eukaryota; Metazoa; Chordata; Mammalia; Rodentia; Sciuridae. The record is from RNAcentral.